Molecule: ribosomal RNA, 352 nt
Filed under: uncultured bacterium
Lineage: Bacteria
Description: bacterial SSU rRNA
Rfam family: Bacterial small subunit ribosomal RNA
Source: RNAcentral
AGAGUUUGAUCCUGGCUCAGGAUGAACGCUAGCUACAGGCUUAACACAUGCAAGUCGAGGGGAAACGACAUCGAAAGCUUGCUUUUGAUGGGCGUCGACCGGCGCACGGGUGAGUAACGCGUAUCCAACCUGCCCAUCACUUGGGGAUAACCUUGCGAAAGUAAGACUAAUACCCAAUGACGUCUCUAGAAGACAUCUGAAGGAGAUUAAAGAUUUAUCGGUGAUGGAUGGGGAUGCGUCUGAUUAGCUUGUUGGCGGGGUAACGGCCACCAAGGCGACGAUCAGUAGGGGUUCUGAGAGGACGGUCCCCCACAUUGGAACUGGAGACACGGUCCAAACUCCUACGGGAGCA